Long non-coding RNA from Vitis riparia (riverbank grape), 811 nucleotides. RefSeq lists it as uncharacterized. The transcript is spliced from 2 exons. The record is from RefSeq and is a predicted model, not a curated record. NCBI's taxonomy places the organism in Eukaryota, Viridiplantae, Streptophyta, Magnoliopsida, Vitales, Vitaceae.
ACAUUGAGCCUAUAUCUCACUUGGAGAAUCUGUGAAGGAUAUAGUUAAGACAUUUUUUACCAGGCUUCACUGGCUCAUCUUACCAAAACUGUGGACAUGGGAAGGGACCAAAGCCACCUCUGAAUUGAUGGGUCCGAGUUCAGUUCCUGAGAGUUAUUUGUCAAUCAAUGGCUUACUUUCAGAUCCUCUAUGAUCCAGUGACCUGCUAUGUUUGCAGUCAAUGCAGGCCUAAAAGCAAUCACUGCAUGCAAGUUGGCAAUAACUAGAAGUUUUCAAACUUGGGAGCCUACUGUAACCCUGCUCCAACUUAGUUAGUGUUCCCUCCUUGCGUUCUUUUAUCAGUUUUCUUCUAAUCCUUUCUAUGCCUUAAAAGGUCCAAUUCAUCUGCAUUCUCGACUGCCUAUUUCCAUGCUCCAGCAAAUCUUCCAUGAACCUAAUCCUCAAAUUUCCAGAGGACUGAGUCCCAUCUUGGAAGGAGAGUAACCCAUAAUUUGAGGUGCCUACCGGCUACCAGCCACAUAAAUCUAGCAUGCACCUGCAAUGCUUAGCUCGAUCAUCACUUCAAUCUCAGAGCUCAUAUUUCUGGGCAUGAAAACGUAUGAAAUUUGAUUAUGGUUCCAUGAACCUUUCAAAUGUUUUCAAACGCUAGUUUUCCAGCAUGCUUGAGUGAAAAAAUUGCAAGUACCAAGGCCUCCUAUGAAUGGAAGAUGAGACAAUGGAGUUGGAGAGUGGAUCCUGUAACAAGCCUCUAGACCUAGGGCUUGAACCUGGGUUCUGAAUUCGAUGAAAGACUAGUUGAGUUGAGCGUUGA